UACAGAGGUCCCGAGCGUUGUUCGGAUUCACUGGGCGUAAAGGGUGCGUAGGUGGUGAGGUAAGUCGGAUGUGAAAUCUCCGGGCUCAACCCGGAAAUGGCAUUGGAAACUACCUUGCUGGAGGAUUUGAGGGGGGAUUGGAAUACUUGGUGUAGCAGUGAAAUGCGUAGAUACCAAGUGGAACACCAGUGGCGAAGGCGAAUCCCUGGAAAAUACCUGACACUGAGGCACGAAAGCUAGGGGAGCAAACAGG
RNAcentral lists this ribosomal RNA (253 nucleotides) under uncultured bacterium. Its description in RNAcentral is "partial 16S ribosomal RNA". It matches the Rfam family "Bacterial small subunit ribosomal RNA", at positions 524 to 776 of the family's 1533-position model. The record is from RNAcentral.